RNAcentral lists this ribosomal RNA (258 nucleotides) under uncultured bacterium. RNAcentral's name for it is "partial 16S ribosomal RNA". It matches the Rfam family "Bacterial small subunit ribosomal RNA", at positions 524 to 776 of the family's 1533-position model. The record is from RNAcentral.
UACGUAGGGUGCGAGCGUUUGUCCGGAAUUAUUGGGCGUAAAGAGCUCGUAGGCGGUCUGUCGCGUCUGCUGUGAAAUCCCGAGGCUCAACCUCGGGCUUGCAGUGGGUACGGGGCAGGCUAGAGUGCGGUAGGGGAGAAUGGAACUCCUGGUGUAGCGGUGGAAUGCGCAGAUAUCAGGAAGAACACCGAUGGCGAAGGCAGUUCUCUGGGGCCGUAACUGACGCUGAGGAGCGAAAAGCGUGGGGGAGCGAACAGG